RNAcentral lists this ribosomal RNA (1438 nucleotides) under uncultured Bordetella sp. Its description in RNAcentral is "partial 16S-23S ribosomal RNA intergenic spacer". It matches the Rfam family "Bacterial small subunit ribosomal RNA". The record is from RNAcentral. Lineage: Bacteria; Pseudomonadati; Pseudomonadota; Betaproteobacteria; Burkholderiales; Alcaligenaceae.
GGUUUGAUCAUGGCUCAGAUUGAACGCUGGCGGAUGCUUUACACACGCAAGUCGAACGGCAGCACGGACUUCGGUCUGGUGGCGCGAGUGGCGAACGGGUGAGUAAUGGUAUCGGAACGUGCCUCUAGUAGCGGGGAUAACUAUUGCUGAAAGGUAGCUUAAUACCGCACACAAUUCUCUUGGGGAAAGCGGGGGACCUUCGGCCUCGCACUAUUAGAGCGGCCGAUAUCGGAUUAGCUAGUUGGUGGGGUAACGGCCUGACCAAGGCGACGAUCCGUAGCUGGUUUGAGAGGACGACCAGCCACACUGGGACUGAGACACGGCCCAGACUCCUACGGAGGCAGCAGUGGGGAAUUUUGGACAUGGGGAACUCGAUCCAGCCAUCCGGGCGUAUGAUGAAGGCCUUCGGGUUGUAAAAGCACUUUUGGCAGGAAAGAAACGGCACGGAUAAUACCCCGCGCAACUGACGGUACCGCAGAACAAGCACCGUCAACUACGCCAGCAGCCGCGCACGAUGGGGUGUGUGUUGCUAAUCGGAAUACCGGGCGUAAAAGCGUGCAGGCGGUUCGAAAGAUGUGAAAUCCCAGAGCUUAACUUUGGAACUGCAUUUUUAACUACCGAGCUAGAGUGUGUCAGAGGGAGGUGGAAUUCGCGUAGUAGUGAAAUGCGGUGAUAUGCGGAGGAACACCGACAUACGGUAGCCUCCUCGGGGAUAACACUACAUCGCGCGCACGAAAGUGCGGGAGCAAACAGGAUUAGAUACCCUGGUAGUCCACGCCCUAAACGAUGUCAACUAGCUGUUGGGGCCUUCGGGCCUGGUAAAGAAAGCCAAUGCGGUGAAGUUGACCGUUCUGGGGAGUACGGUCGCAAGAUUAAAACUCAAAGGAAUUGACGGGGACCGGGCACAAGCAGGAUGAUGAUUAAUUGAGCACCAUGAAAAACCUUACCUACCCUUGACAUGUCUGAAUCCCGAAGAGAUUUGGGAGUGCUCGCAAGAGAACCGGAACACAGGUGCUGCAUGGCUGUCGUCAGCUCGUGUCGAGAUGUUGGGUUAAGUCCUGGCAACGAGCGCAACCCUUGUCAUUAGUUGCUACGGCAGGCACUCUAAUGAGACUGCCGGUGACAAACCGGAGGAAGGUGGGACGCUCGGGUCUCCGCCGGCCCUUAUGGGUAGGGCUGACACGUCAUACAAUGGUCGGACAGGUGGCUCAACCUGCGAGGGGGAGCUAAUCCCAGAACCGAUCGUAGUCCGGAUCGUGCCUGCAACCGACCGCAAGUCGGAAUCGCUGCAACGCGAUCAGCAUGUCGCGGUGAAUACGCUCCGUUCAGGCUGACACCGCCCGUCACACCAUGGGAGUGGGUUUUACCAGAAGUGCUAGCUCACCGCAGGAGGGCGAUUACUGAGAUUCCAUGACUGGGUGAAGUCGUAACAAGGCAG